CCUGCUUAUCAGCCAUUUGAUCUUCUUUUUUUUUCUUGGCAAGUUCUUGUUUUUCUUUUUUUUUCAAUUCCCUUUCCUGUCUGGCUACUUACUGUACAUUACAUUGGAACUACAAAUAAUUAUAUUAUUUUCGAAUGUUGGAUGAAUAGUAUUAUUCUUCAAAGGUGAUAAAAGUGCAAAACAUUCCAACUAUAUUAUCAGAUGCUGAAAAAUGAACCCCCGUCCAAAUGGUUUCUUAUAAAGUCAAGAAAUUCAUUGUACUUCAUCAUCCCCAAUUAUAAAUAAACAGUUAUCUGUCUGUCUGUCACAUUCUAUUAUCUAUUGGUAAAGUUUAGAAAAAAAUAUCAUGGGCAAUACUUAAAGGAGACAGUCAUAUCUUCAUGAUUUGUUUGUCCUUCUCAACAUCGAAAGGGUCAUCGUCCCAUAUUUCUGUUACGUCUGUAAAUAAUAAAAAAUAGUCAAGAAAACUGAUCUGAAACUUGGUAAAAACUUAACUGAAUAUUUUUGUGUAAGUAAAUAAAUAAAAGUUUCAAACUAGUAUCUAUUUGGCAAAACAAUUCAUUUUCUCUUGAAAUAAUUCAAAUAACCAAUAAAAAGAAAAUAGCAAAAAUAUCAACAAUAACACUCAAAAUGAGAAAAACAAAAAAAACCAAAAGACACGGACAACAAUGAGGAACGUAUAUAAGAACCUUAACUGACAAAUUUCUACCAUGUCGAUUUCUAACUCUGACUUCUUCAUCUAGUAACCCUCACAACAACCAACUUAUAGUAUAGAUUAUUAAUUACAUAGAUAUGUAAAGGUGCAAAAACUAAAAUUGAAAAAAACCCAUUUUCAUUUGUUAUAUGCAAAUCCAA
This 855-nucleotide long non-coding RNA is filed under the name Mytilus galloprovincialis (Mediterranean mussel). The record is from RNAcentral. Lineage: Eukaryota; Metazoa; Mollusca; Bivalvia; Mytilida; Mytilidae.